RNAcentral lists this ribosomal RNA (506 nucleotides) under uncultured bacterium. RNAcentral describes it as "bacterial SSU rRNA". It matches the Rfam family "Bacterial small subunit ribosomal RNA", at positions 33 to 518 of the family's 1533-position model. The record is from RNAcentral.
AGGACGACGCUGGCGGCGUGCCUAACACAUGCAAGUCGAGCGGGGACAUGCGACGGACCUGAAGAUUUCGGUUGGAAGGAAAGAUGUAUUGUUCUAGCGGCGGACGGGUGAGUAACGCGUGAGCAACCUGUCCCUUACAGGGGGAUAACACAGCGAAAGUUGUACUAAUACCGCAUGAGACCACAGUGAGACAUCUCACAGGGGUCAAAGGAGCAAUCCGGUAAGGGGUGGGCUCGCGUCCGAUUAGAUAGUUGGUGAGGUAACGGCCCACCAAGUCGACGAUCGGUAGCCGACCUGAGAGGGUGAUCGGCCACAUUGGGACUGAGACACGGCCCAAACUCCUACGGGAGGCAGCAGUGGGGAAUAUUGGGCAAUGGGGGGAAACCCUGACCCAGCAACGCCGCGUGAGGGAAGAAGGUUUUCGGAUCGUAAACCUCUGUCCUUGGUGAAGAGGAAGAGACGGUAGCCAAGGAGGAAGCCCCGGCUAACUACGUGCCAGCAGCGGC